CUUUUCUCGUUAGUUUUUGAAGUAUGGCCUGCCCGCUGACUUUGGUGUUGAAGGGCCGCGGUAUUUUGACCGUGCAAAGGUAGCAUAGUCAUUAGUUCUUUAAUUGUGAUCUGGUAUGAAUGGCUUGACGAGGCAUGGGCUGUCUUAAUUUUGAAUUGUUUAUUGAAUUUGGUCUUUGAGUUAAAAUUCUUAGAUGUUUUUAUGGGACGAGAAGACCCUAUAGAGUUUAACAUUUGUUAUGGUCCUUUUUCUGUUUGUGAGGGUUCAUUGGGCCGUUUAAUAUGUUUUGUUGGGGUGAUGGGAGGGAAUUAAUUUAACCCCUCCUUUUUAAUAUUAUAUUUAUUUAUAUUUACUUGAUCCAUUUAUUUUGAUUGUAAGAUUAAAUUACC
RNAcentral lists this ribosomal RNA (389 nucleotides) under Reticulitermes miyatakei. Its description in RNAcentral is "partial 16S rRNA". Lineage: Eukaryota; Metazoa; Arthropoda; Insecta; Blattodea; Rhinotermitidae. The record is from RNAcentral.